RNAcentral lists this transfer RNA (65 nucleotides) under Zygosaccharomyces bailii CLIB 213. RNAcentral's name for it is "tRNA-Thr (AGT) (tRNA-Thr-AGT-7-1)". It matches the Rfam family "tRNA". From Rfam's summary of the family: Transfer RNA (tRNA) molecules are approximately 80 nucleotides in length. Their secondary structure includes four short double-helical elements and three loops (D, anti-codon, and T loops). Further hydrogen bonds mediate the characteristic L-shaped molecular structure. tRNAs have two regions of fundamental functional importance: the anti-codon, which is responsible for specific mRNA codon recognition, and the 3' end, to which the tRNAs corresponding amino acid is attached (by aminoacyl-tRNA synthetases). tRNAs cope with the degeneracy of the genetic code in two manners: having more than one tRNA (with a specific anti-codon) for a particular amino acid; and 'wobble' base-pairing, i.e. permitting non-standard base-pairing at the 3rd anti-codon position. The record is from RNAcentral. Lineage: Eukaryota; Fungi; Ascomycota; Saccharomycetes; Saccharomycetales; Saccharomycetaceae.
GCUUCUAUGGCCAAGUUGGUAAGGCGCCACACUAGUAAUGUGGAGAUCANAUCCGAUUGGAAGCA